This 1372-nucleotide ribosomal RNA is filed under the name uncultured bacterium. RNAcentral describes it as "bacterial SSU rRNA". It matches the Rfam family "Bacterial small subunit ribosomal RNA", at positions 28 to 1381 of the family's 1533-position model. The record is from RNAcentral.
GAUGAACGCUGGCGGCGUGCCUAAUACAUGCAAGUCGAGCGAACGGACGAGAAGCUUGCUUCUCUGAUGUUAGCGGCGGACGGGUGAGUAACACGUGGAUAACCUACCUAUAAGACUGGGAUAACUUCGGGAAACCGGAGCUAAUACCGGAUAAUAUUUUGAACCGCAUGGUUCAAAAGUGAAAGACGGUCUUGCUGUCACUUAUAGAUGGAUCCGCGCUGCAUUAGCUAGUUGGUAAGGUAACGGCUUACCAAGGCAACGAUGCAUAGCCGACCUGAGAGGGUGAUCGGCCACACUGGAACUGAGACACGGUCCAGACUCCUACGGGAGGCAGCAGUAGGGAAUCUUCCGCAAUGGGCGAAAGCCUGACGGAGCAACGCCGCGUGAGUGAUGAAGGUCUUCGGAUCGUAAAACUCUGUUAUUAGGGAAGAACAUAUAUGUAAGUAACUGUGCACAUCUUGACGGUACCUAAUCAGAAAGCCACGGCUAACUACGUGCCAGCAGCCGCGGUAAUACGUAGGUGGCAAGCGUUAUCCGGAAUUAUUGGGCGUAAAGCGCGCGUAGGCGGUUUUUUAAGUCUGAUGUGAAAGCCCACGGCUCAACCGUGGAGGGUCAUUGGAAACUGGAAAACUUGAGUGCAGAAGAGGAAAGUGGAAUUCCAUGUGUAGCGGUGAAAUGCGCAGAGAUAUGGAGGAACACCAGUGGUGAAGGCGACUUUCUGGUCUGUAACUGACGCUGAUGUGCGAAAGCGUGGGGAUCAAACAGGAUUAGAUACCCUGGUAGUCCACGCCGUAAACGAUGAGUGCUAAGUGUUAGGGGGUUUCCGCCCCUUAGUGCUGCAGCUAACGCAUUAAGCACUCCGCCUGGGGAGUACGACCGCAAGGUUGAAACUCAAAGGAAUUGACGGGGACCCGCACAAGCGGUGGAGCAUGUGGUUUAAUUCGAAGCAACGCGAAGAACCUUACCAAAUCUUGACAUCCUUUGACAACUCUAGAGAUAGAGCUUUCCCCUUCGGGGGACAAAGUGACAGGUGGUGCAUGGUUGUCGUCAGCUCGUGUCGUGAGAUGUUGGGUUAAGUCCCGCAACGAGCGCAACCCUUAAGCUUAGUUGCCAUCAUUAAGUUGGGCACUCUAAGUUGACCGCCGGUGACAAACCGGAGGAAGGUGGGGAUGACGUCAAAUCAUCAUGCCCCUUAUGAUUUGGGCUACACACGUGCUACAAUGGACAAUACAAAGGGCAGCGAAACCGCGAGGUCAAGCAAAUCCCAUAAAGUUGUUCUCAGUUCGGAUUGUAGUCUGCAACUCGACUACAUGAAGCUGGAAUCGCUAGUAAUCGUAGAUCAGCAUGCUACGGUGAAUACGUUCCCGGGUCU